AGAGUUUGAUCAUGGCUCAGGACGAACGCUUGCGGCGUGCUAAGAAAUGCAAGUCGAGCGGGGUUCACGCUGUCCGAAGCCCGCUUCGGCGGACAGAGGACUUGUGUAACCUAGCGGCAAACGGUCGAGUAACACGUAAGAAACGUGCCCCGAAGUUGGGGAUAGCCCGCCGAAAGGCGGAUUAAUACCGAAUACGUCCGGUGCGGCGCAUGUCGCGCAGGAUAAAGUGGCAACACGCUUCGGGAUGGGCUUGCGGCCUAUCAGCUAGUUGGUGGGAUAAUAGCCUACCAAGGCGACGACGGGUAGCUGGUCUGAGAGGAUGGUCAGCCGGAUUGGGACUGAGACACGGCCCAGACUCCUACGGGGGGCAGCAAUUAGGAAUCUUGCGCAAUGGGGGAAACCCUGACGCAGCGACGCCGCGUGAGCGAUGAAGUCUUUCGGGAUGUAAAGCUCUGUCCUGCGGGGAAGAAGGAUGUGACGGUACCCGCAGAGAAAGCCCCGGCUAACUACGUGCCAGCAGCCGCGGUAAUACGUAGGGGGCGAGCGUUGUCCGAAUUUACUGGGCGUAAAGCGCGUGUAGGCGGCUCUUUAAGUCAGGUGUGAAAUCUUGCGGCUCAACCGCAAAACUGCACUUGAAACUGGAGGGCUUGAGUUUGGGAGAGGAGAGUGGAAUUCCUGGUGUAGCGGUGAAAUGCGUAGAUAUCAGGAGGAACACCCGUGGCGAAGGCGGCUCUCUGGCCCAACACUGACGCUGAGACGCGAAAGCUAGGGGAGCGAACGGGAUUAGAUACCCCGGUAGUCCUAGCCGUAAACGAUGGAUACUAGGUGUUAGCGGUAUCGACCCCGCUAGUGCCGCAGCUAACGCAUUAAGUAUCCCGCCUGGGGAGUACGGCCGCAAGGUUGAAACUCAAAUGAAUUGACGG
RNAcentral lists this ribosomal RNA (923 nucleotides) under uncultured bacterium. Its description in RNAcentral is "bacterial SSU rRNA". It matches the Rfam family "Bacterial small subunit ribosomal RNA", at positions 8 to 916 of the family's 1533-position model. The record is from RNAcentral.